AGGGUUUGAUCAUGGCUCAGAACGUACGCUGGCGGCACGCCUAACACAUGCAAGUCGAACGAAGUAGCAAUACUUAGUGGCAGACGGGUGAGUAACAUGUAGGUAUCUACCCUUUGGCCUGGAAUAACACGAGGAAACUUGUGCUAAUACCGGAUAAGUCUUUACGGAGAAAGCUUUAUGCACCAUUGGAUGAGCCUGCAUUUGAUUAGUUUGUUGGUAGGGUAAUGGCUUACCAAGACUGUGAUCAAUAGCUGAUUUGAGAGGAUGAUCAGCCACAUUGGGACUGAGACACGGCCCAAACUCCUACGGGAGGCAGCAGUGGGGAAUCUUGCACAAUGGAGGAAACUCUGAUGCAGCGAUGCCGCGUGAGUGAAGAAGGCCUUUGGGUUGUAAAGCUCUUUCGUCGGGGAAGAAAAUGACUGUACCCGAAUAAGAAGGUCCGGCUAACUUCGUGCCAGCAGCCGCGGUAAUACGAAGGGACCUAGCGUAGUUCGGAAUUACUGGGCUUAAAGAGUUCGUAGGUGGUUGAAAAAGUUGGUGGUGAAAUCCCAGAGCUUAACUCUGGAACUGCCAUCAAAACUUUUCAGCUAGAGUUUGAUAGAGGAAAGCAGAAUUUCUAGUGUAGAGGUGAAAUUCGUAGAUAUUAGAAAGAAUACCAAUUGCGAAGGCAGCUUUCUGGAUCAUUACUGACACUGAGGAACGAAAGCAUGGGUAGCGAAGAGGAUUAGAUACCCUCGUAGUCCAUGCCGUAAACGAUGUGUGUUAGACGUUGGAAAUUUAUUUUCAGUGUCGCAGCGAAAGCGAUAAACACACCGCCUGGGGAGUACGACCGCAAGGUUAAAACUCAAAUGAAUUGACGGGGACCCGCACAAGUAGUGGAGCAUGUGGUUUAAUUCGAAGAUACGCGCAGAACCUUACCAACACUUGACAUGUUCGUCGCGACUUUAAGAGAUUAAAGUUUUCGGUUCGGCCGGACGAAACACAGGUGCUGCAUGGCUGUCGUCAGCUCGUGUCGUGAGAUGUUGGGUUAAGUCCCGCAACGAGCGCAACCCUCACUUUUAGUUGCCAUCAUUAAGUUGGGCACUCUGAAAGAACUGCCAGUGAUAAGCUGGAGGAAGGUGGGGAUGACGUCAAGUCCUCAUGGCCCUUACGUGUUGGGCUACACACGUGCUACAAUGAUAUUUACAAAAGGAAGCAAAACGGCGACGUUUAGCAAAUCCUAAAAAAAUAUCUCAGUUCGGAUUGCACUCUGCAACUCGAGUGCAUGAAGCUGGAAUUACUAGUAAUCGUGGAUCAGCGUGCCACGGUGAAUGCGUUCCCGGGUCUUGUACACACCGCCCGUCACACCAUGGGAGUUGGUUCUACCUUAAGGCAAGGUUUAAAACCCUUGACCACGGUAUAGUCAGCGACUGGGGUGAAGUCGUAACAAGGUAGCCGUA
Molecule: ribosomal RNA, 1439 nt
Filed under: uncultured bacterium
Lineage: Bacteria
Description: bacterial SSU rRNA
Rfam family: Bacterial small subunit ribosomal RNA
Source: RNAcentral